UUACUAUUUUUUUGCCUACCCUCUCUUUUUCAAAAUUGCUUAUGGUCAUCCUAUUAUUUUAGAGUUGACAAGUGUCUAGGAAGGUACCUUUUUUCUAUUAUCCGAUAUCAGACACAAGUCUUGUCAUAGAUAUGAUCUACGGAAAAAUCAGCAUCCGAAUACCCAGUUGAAUUAUUUACAAUUCAUAUCAUUACUCAUACUCAUACUCAUACUAACAGAGUAUUUUUUUGAAAGAUUUGAAGAUCAAAGAGAUUCCCGCUUCUUUAAUAAUACAAUACUUAAUUAAUACUUAAUACUUUAGAAUGCUUAAGACUUUGCCCCUUUCUUUUUUUAAUUGACAUAGACCCAAGCCCUCGCGUAAAAUGAGUAUGAUGCAUCAGAUCAGAUCAGGA
This 392-nucleotide unclassified non-coding RNA is filed under the name Halimium ocymoides. RNAcentral describes it as "trnL-trnF intergenic spacer". Lineage: Eukaryota; Viridiplantae; Streptophyta; Magnoliopsida; Malvales; Cistaceae. The record is from RNAcentral.